RNAcentral lists this long non-coding RNA (359 nucleotides) under Panax ginseng (ginseng). RNAcentral's name for it is "long non-coding RNA (PGIN_LNC004386)". The record is from RNAcentral. Lineage: Eukaryota; Viridiplantae; Streptophyta; Magnoliopsida; Apiales; Araliaceae.
AUUUACAUGCUUAUUCCUAACAAAAUCUUCUUAAAUAUUGGAACCCAACUGACAGAUAUCUACACGACUGAAGAAGAAGAAGAAUAUGUUUCAAAGGGGGGCGAUCUAAUGUUGCCUGGCGCCGUUCUACCGUCCCAUGAUCGUGUCCUCAUCUCUGCAGAUCUAAAUCACAAGAAUCUCAGGACGAAAAACUAUCGUGUCCUCAUCUUUGCAGAUCUGAGAGGUCGGGGGUGGGCAUGGAUGUGGUGAGUUCAAGAAUAAUCUAAAAAAUUGAGGUUUUUUUAAUAAAUAAAAUUGAUAUUUGAAGUGUUAAUAUUUUUAAUAGUAUGUUUCUUUUAUAUUUAAGUGUAAAUUUAAAA